GAUGAACGCUGGCGGCGUGCCUAAUACAUGCAAGUCGAGCGAACGGACGAGAAGCUUGCUUCUCUGAUGUUAGCGGCGGACGGGUGAGUAACACGUGGAUAACCUACCUAUAAGACUGGGAUAACUUCGGGAAACCGGAGCUAAUACCGGAUAAUAUUUUGAACCGCAUGGUUCAAAAGUGAAAGACGGUCUUGCUGUCACUUAUAGAUGGAUCCGCGCUGCAUUAGCUAGUUGGUAAGGUAACGGCUUACCAAGGCAACGAUGCAUAGCCGACCUGCGAGGGUGAUCGGCCACACUGGAACUGAGACACGGUCCAGACUCCUACGGGAGGCAGCAGUAGGGAAUCUUCCGCAAUGGGCGAAAGCCUGACGGAGCAACGCCGCGUGAGUGAUGAAGGUCUUCUGAUCGUAAAACUCUGUUAUUAGGGAAGAACAUAUGUGUAAGUAACUGUGCACAUCUUGACGGUACCUAAUCAGAAAGCCACGGCUAACUACGUG
RNAcentral lists this ribosomal RNA (497 nucleotides) under uncultured bacterium. RNAcentral describes it as "partial 16S ribosomal RNA". It matches the Rfam family "Bacterial small subunit ribosomal RNA", at positions 28 to 507 of the family's 1533-position model. The record is from RNAcentral.